UAGAUUUGAUAUGGAUCUUUAAGAAUCCUCUCACUUUUAAGCUCAGAGAUUGCUUUGUCUUUUUCAAAUUGGAGAUUCUUAGGUAUGACAUUGAAUUGAUGACUAGAUCCAGAUGGUUGGUGGGUAUUAUUUUCGAAAGUCGACAUUGGUUGGCUCGACAAUUGACCUAGUUCUCUCCUCAUGGUAGACUCAGCUAAUUAACCUAUUUGUGCAUCUAGCCUGGUAAGAGAUUGCUGUUGGAUCAUAAUCAUUUGUUAAAGUUGGCUAAACCUAUCAUCGACUAGAGGGGUAUGUUGAGGAGGUGGGUAUGGAGGCUGAUUGUAAUAGGAUGGCUGAGUAGGCUGACUAGGCUGACCUCUAUUAUAAGCAUAAUUUUGGUAUUGGGGUCUAUUCUGAAAGUUUUGCAUCGAAAGAAUUUGGGUCUGAGCCUGAGUCUAUUGGGGUCUCCAAAAAAAAUUAAGAUGGUUCCUUCAAUCUUGGUUAUAUGUAUUAAAGAAUGGAUCAUUGAUAGGAUUGGAGUAACCUUGAGUAGCUUGAACUUGUUCUUGG
RNAcentral lists this long non-coding RNA (549 nucleotides) under Elaeis guineensis (African oil palm). RNAcentral's name for it is "long non-coding RNA (EGUI_LNC071711)". Lineage: Eukaryota; Viridiplantae; Streptophyta; Magnoliopsida; Arecales; Arecaceae. The record is from RNAcentral.